AACGAACGCUGGCGGCGCGCCUAAUACAUGCAAGUCGAGCGAGAAGACGUAGCAAUACGUUUGUAAAGCGGCGAACGGGUGAGGAAUACAUGGGUAACCUACCCUCGAGUGGGGAAUAACUAGCCGAAAGGUUAGCUAAUACCGCGUACGCUCCUUGGACUUCGGUUCAGGGAGGAAAGCGAUACCGUGGGUAUCGCGCUCUUGGAUGGGCUCAUGUCCUAUCAGCUUGUUGGUGAGGUAACGGCUCACCAAGGCUUCGACGGGUAGCUGGUCUGAGAGGACGAUCAGCCACACUGGCACUGCGACACGGGCCAGACUCCUACGGGAGGCAGCAGUAAGGAAUAUUGCGCAAUGGGCGAAAGCCUGACGCAGCGACGCCGCGUGGGGGAUGAAGGUCUUCGGAUUGUAAACCCCUUUCGGGAGGGAAGAUGGAACGAGCAAUCGUUCGGACGGUACC
Molecule: ribosomal RNA, 457 nt
Filed under: uncultured bacterium
Lineage: Bacteria
Description: bacterial SSU rRNA
Rfam family: Bacterial small subunit ribosomal RNA
Source: RNAcentral